AUGGCUCUGAAUAUUCCCACUAAUGAAGACUGGCUUUUGGUUGGAGACUUUAAUUUUAUCCGAAGCCCAGAGAAUCGCAACAAGCCCGGUGGCAAUUACGGCGAUAUGAUUACUUUUAAUGACUUCAUCCGAGCACAAGCCUUAAUUGAACUGCCCAUUAAAGGUCGCGAAUACACCUGGAGUAACAUGCAAACUGAUCCAUUACUCGAGCAAAUUGAUUGGUUUUUCACUAGUAAUAAUUGGACGAGCUCCUACCCCAACACUGUGGUUAAACCCCUCGGGCGACCUGUUUCAGAUCACAUCCCAUGUGUGAUUACUAUUGAAACUUCCAUUCCACGAUCAAAAUUAUUCAGGUUUGAAUCCUUCUGGAUCCAACACCCAGGUUUUAUGGAAGUAGUUCAAAACGCUUGGGCCAGGCCUGUGCAAUCUCAGAAUAUGGCGAGUGUCUUAUGCAGAAAGUUUAAAACCCUGCGACAUGAUCUUAAAUAUUGGAGUAAAAAUAUCUCAAAACUGACCAUUGCCAUAGAAAAUUCAAACAGGGCCCUCUUGGAAAUUGAUGGGUUGGAGAAUAAAAGACAGCUAUCCACACCCGAAGCUAAUUUCAGGAAAAUACUAAAGGCUCAUCUCAUCAGACUACUUUCUUAUCAAAGGAUGUACUGGAAGAAACAGUGUACCAUUCGGUGGGUGCAAUUUGGUGACGAAAAUUCUAAAUUCUUUCAAGCUAUGGCCUCGGAGCGAUACAGAAGGAAUAACAUUGCAGCCCUGCAUACUGAAGAUGGUAUCUGUGUGGAGGAUCAUGCGGGCAAAGAAGCAAUACUCUUUCAAUCCUUCAAACAGAGACUUGGCAAUUCUUCUCAUAAAGAUAUGAAAUUUGAUCUUCCAAGUAUUAUCAAGAGAAUUGAAGGCCUAGAUACUUUGACUGUCCCUUUCACACAUGCUGAAAUAGAUCAUGUUAUUAAAUCGAUGCCACCGGAUCGUGCACCAGGACCAGAUGGCUUCAAUGGUGCGUUUCUCAAAGCUUCUUGGCCAAUCAUCAAAGAGGAUUUUUAUAAAUUGUGUAAUCAAUUCUUUGAUGGAAAUCUCAAUCUUGAAAGCAUCAACGACGGCUACAUCACUCUGAUCCCAAAAAACAAUGCGCCUAGCACCGUCAAUGAUUUCCGACCAAUCACCCUAUUGAACUGCUGA
RNAcentral lists this ribosomal RNA (1185 nucleotides) under Triticum aestivum (bread wheat). Its description in RNAcentral is "partial small subunit ribosomal RNA". Lineage: Eukaryota; Viridiplantae; Streptophyta; Magnoliopsida; Poales; Poaceae. The record is from RNAcentral.